AUUGAACGCUGGCGGAAUGCUUUACACAUGCAAGUCGAACGGUAGAGGGGGCAACCCCUUGAGAGUGGCGAACGGGUGAGUAAUAUAUCGGAACGUGCCCAGUCGUGGGGAUAACGUAGCGAAAGUUACGCUAGUACCGCAUACGAUCUAAGGAUGAAAGCGGGGGAUCGCAAGACCUCGCGCGAUUGGAGCGGCCGAUAUCAGAUUAGGUAGUUGGUGGGGUAAAGGCUCACCAAGCCAACGAUCUGUAGCUGGUCUGAGAGGACGACCAGCCACACUGGAACUGAGACACGGUCCAGACUCCUACGGGAGGCAGCAGUGGGGGAAUUUUGGACAAUGGACGCAAGUCUGAUCCAGCCAUUCCGCGUGCAGGAUGAAGGCCCUCGGGUUGUAAACUGCUUUUUGUACGGAACGAAACGGUGAGCUCUAAUACAGUUUGCUAAUGACGGUACCGUAAGAAUAAGCACCGGCUAAC
This 475-nucleotide ribosomal RNA is filed under the name uncultured bacterium. RNAcentral's name for it is "bacterial SSU rRNA". It matches the Rfam family "Bacterial small subunit ribosomal RNA", at positions 30 to 501 of the family's 1533-position model. The record is from RNAcentral.